RNAcentral lists this unclassified non-coding RNA (367 nucleotides) under Pomacea canaliculata. RNAcentral describes it as "uncharacterized LOC112555144, transcript variant X2". The record is from RNAcentral. Lineage: Eukaryota; Metazoa; Mollusca; Gastropoda; Architaenioglossa; Ampullariidae.
UGUGUUGGGGACGUAACUCUAAUAAUACAAUUUGAGUUACGUCCCUUGGAUAUUAAUCUCCACGACAAAGUCGUCUGCUGUGAUGGCGGCAAAGAAGAAUAAUGAUGUCUGCAGCCAUGCAGUUGCAUGACUUUUUUUUUCAGUUGUUAACGCUAUUGCCAGCCCUGACGAGAGGUGUGGAAGGGGAGGAUGUUGUAUCCGGGCCCGCGGCUGUGAAGGGGGCCCGGCCUUGGUUAUCUCGAAACGCCAUUUAGAGCAAAUCGUGAAGAGUUUUCCCCUUUUAUCAAAUCCUCGGUACACCUGGUGGCUCCAGUCGACCACGUCGUCGUGAUUAGUUUUCAUGAUAUCCAGGACUGGCUAGGCUGUG